GGCGGCAUGCUUAACACAUGCAAGUCGAACAGUAACAGUGCUAGCUUGCUAGCAGCUGACGAGUGGCGAACGGGUGAGUAACGCGUAGGGAUCUGCCCUAGAGAGGGGGAUAACCCGGGGAAACUCGGGCUAAUACCGCAUAAGCUCUGAGGAGUGAAGUGUGCCUCUGCUUGCAAGCAUACACUCUAGGAUGAACCUGCGUUCGAUUAGCUAGUUGGUGGGGUAAAGGCCUACCAAGGCGACGAUCGAUAGCUGUUCUGAGAGGAAGAUCAGCCACACUGGGACUGAGACACGGCCCAGACUCCUACGGGAGGCAGCAGUGGGGAAUAUUGGACAAUGGGGGCAACCCUGAUCCAGCAAUGCCGCGUGUGUGAAGAAGGCCCGAGGGUUGUAAAGCACUUUCGUUGGGGAGGAACUGUCAAAUGUUAAUAGCAUUUGGAGUUGACGUUACCCAAAUAAGAAGCACCGGCUAACUCUGUG
This 480-nucleotide ribosomal RNA is filed under the name uncultured bacterium. RNAcentral describes it as "bacterial SSU rRNA". It matches the Rfam family "Bacterial small subunit ribosomal RNA", at positions 38 to 507 of the family's 1533-position model. The record is from RNAcentral.